AGCGUCUGGAAAGGCGCGCGAUACAGGGUGACAGCCCCGUACACAAAAGCGCAURUGCUGUGAGCUCGAUGAGUAGGGCGGGACACGUGGUAUCCUGUCUGAAUAUGGGGGGACCAUCCUCCAAGGCUAAAUACUCCUGACUGACCGAUAGUGAACCAGUACCGUGAGGGAAAGGCGAAAAGAACCCCGGCGAGGGGAGUGAAAAAGAACCUGAAACCGUGUACGUACAAGCAGUGGGAGCCCCACCACUAAGCCAGUGGUGAACUCCACAUACGCAUCCUUUGCUGAGGAURCGGUUAACGGAGCGAAAGCGACGUUCAACCGCAAAAGAAGCAGAGGGGGCUUAGUGGUGGGGUGACUGCGUACCUUUUGUAUAAUGGGUCAGCGACUUAUAUUCUGUAGCAAGGUUAACCGWAUAGGGGAGCCGGAGGGAAACCGAGUCUUAAYYGGGCGUUAAGUUGCAGGGUAUAGACCCGAAACCCGGUGAUCUAGCCAUGGGCAGGUUGAAGGUUGGGUAACACUAACUGGAGGACCGAACCGACUAAUGUUGAAAAAUUAGCGGAUGACCUGUGGCUGGGGGUGAAAGGCCAAUCAAACCGGGAG
This 603-nucleotide ribosomal RNA is filed under the name Salmonella enterica. Its description in RNAcentral is "partial 23S ribosomal RNA". Lineage: Bacteria; Pseudomonadati; Pseudomonadota; Gammaproteobacteria; Enterobacterales; Enterobacteriaceae. The record is from RNAcentral.